UACAGAGGUCCCAAGCGUUGUUCGGAUUCACUGGGCGUAAAGGGUGCGUAGGCGGUCGGGUAAGUCUGCUGUGAAAUCUCACAGCUUAACUGUGAAACUGCAUUGGAUACUAUUCGGCUUGAGAGUUGGAGGGGGGACUGGAAUUCUUGGUGUAGCAGUGAAAUACGUAGAUAUCAAGAGGAACACCAGUGGCGAAGGCGAGUCCCUGGACAACUUCUGACGCUGAGGCACGAAAGCUAGGGGAGCAAACAGG
RNAcentral lists this ribosomal RNA (253 nucleotides) under uncultured bacterium. RNAcentral's name for it is "partial 16S ribosomal RNA". It matches the Rfam family "Bacterial small subunit ribosomal RNA", at positions 524 to 776 of the family's 1533-position model. The record is from RNAcentral.